Molecule: ribosomal RNA, 572 nt
Filed under: Salmonella enterica subsp. enterica serovar Montevideo
Lineage: Bacteria; Pseudomonadati; Pseudomonadota; Gammaproteobacteria; Enterobacterales; Enterobacteriaceae
Description: partial 23S ribosomal RNA
Rfam family: Bacterial large subunit ribosomal RNA
Source: RNAcentral
UGUUUCGGCUAGGGGGCCAUCCCGGCUUACCAACCCGAUGCAAACUGCGAAUACCGGAGAAUGUUAUCACGGGAGACACACGGCGGGUGCUAACGUCCGUCGUGAAGAGGGAAACAACCCAGACCGCCAGCUAAGGUCCCAAAGUCAUGGUUAAGUGGGAAACGAUGUGGGAAGGCCCAGACAGCCAGGAUGUUGGCUUAGAAGCAGCCAUCAUUUAAAGAAAGCGUAAUAGCUCACUGGUCGAGUCGGCCUGCGCGGAAGAUGUAACGGGGCUAAACCAUGCACCGAAGCUGCGGCAGCGACGCUGAUGCGUUGUUGGGUAGGGGAGCGUUCUGUAAGCCUGCGAAGGUGGCCUGUGAGGGUUGCUGGAGGUAUCAGAAGUGCGAAUGCUGACAUAAGUAACGAUAAAGCGGGUGAAAAGCCCGCUCGCCGGAAGACCAAGGGUUCCUGUCCAACGUUAAUCGGGGCAGGGUGAGUCGACCCCUAAGGCGAGGCCGAAAGGCGUAGUCGAUGGGAAACGGGUUAAUAUUCCCGUACUUGGUGUUACUGCGAAGGGGGGACGGAGAAGGCUA